CAAAAAUUAUAAAUAGGUUCGAUCAAAAUUACUGGCAGAGUUACUGAACACUGCAAUAUCAUUACCAUACAUCAAUUUACAUUGCUCUAUGGAUGAUCCAAGGGGCCCCCACAAGCUCAAAGUGUAAGGAAGAGUAAUAGUAUUGUCCUUAUAAAAGACCACGCCUUUAAAUCCUCUUUUCUUCAAUUCACUCCAAUCGAUGUACCGUAUAUCAGGAACAGAAACAUGUGGGAUUGCCAAGUUCUUGUCUUUUGACAAAAUUCCCACAGAAGAAGCAAGGUUUUCCAAAUUAACUAUUUGCCCUAAGAAACCUUUGAAAUCUGUCCACCACAAGUUUGAGGAAAUGUCCAAAAAAGUUAUCUACCUCUCUUUCUGGUUCCCUUUCACUCUCUCUAAAUUUGAUUUUUCGGUUUUCAAUGGAAGAACAAAAAUCUUGGCAAGAUUUGGGAUUUUCUUCAUCUGGGUCUUUUCUUGGAUAAGGCUUCUGAUUCUUUUCUUGAUCUUUGUUGCAACUAUUUGUUGCAGAAAAAUGAAGAAACUAUUGUUUAUGUAGAUUUUUUUUUUCUUUUUUGAGGGUUUUACAGAGAGAUUCUUAUGGUUUUGG
This 604-nucleotide long non-coding RNA is filed under the name Olea europaea subsp. europaea. Lineage: Eukaryota; Viridiplantae; Streptophyta; Magnoliopsida; Lamiales; Oleaceae. The record is from RNAcentral.